GAGUUUGAUCGUGGCUCAGAUUGAACGCUGGCGGCAGGCCUAACACAUGCAAGUCGAGUGGAUGACGGGAGCUUGCUCCUUGAUUCAGCGGCGGACGGGUGAGUAAUGCCUGGGAAUCUGCCUGGUAGUGGGGGACAACGUUUCGAAAGGAACGCUAAUACCGCAUACGUCCUACGGGAGAAAGCAGGGGACCUUCGGGCCUUGCGCUAUCAGAUGAGUCUAGGUCGGAUUAGCUAGUUGGUGGGGUAAUGGCUCACCAAGGCGACGAUCCGUAACUGGUCUGAGAGGAUGAUCAGUCACACUGGAACUGAGACACGGCCCAGACUCCUACGGGAGGCAGCAGUGGGGAAUAUUGGACAAUGGGCGAAAGCCUGAUCCAGCCAUGCCGCGUGUGUGAAGAAAGGUCUUUCGGAUUGUAAAAGCACUUUAAAGUUGGGAGGAAGGGCAGUAAAGUUAAUACCUUGCUGUUUUGUACGUUACCGACAGAAUAAGCACGGCUAAACUCUGUGCCAGCCGCCGCCG
Molecule: ribosomal RNA, 522 nt
Filed under: bacterium enrichment culture clone ALO1_GLFRUDD03GSVIR
Lineage: Bacteria
Description: bacterial SSU rRNA
Rfam family: Bacterial small subunit ribosomal RNA
Source: RNAcentral